GACGAACGCUGGCGGCGUGCUUAAUACAUGCAAGUCAACGACUUUUAGAGUAGCAAUAUUUUAAAAGGAGUGGCGCACGGGUGAGUAACACGUAGGUAAUCUGCCUUCAGGACUGACACAACUCGUCGAAAGACGGGCUAAUAUCAGAUAAUGCAGCGGCUCCGCAUGGAGACAGUUGUUAAAGUACAAGCGCCUGAAGAUGAGCCUGCGGUCCAUUAGCUAGUUGGUAGAGUAACAGCCUACCAAGGCAACGAUGGAUAGCUGGUCUGAGAGGAUGAUCAGCCACACUGGAACUGAGACACGGUCCAGACUCCUACGGGAGGCAGCAGUAAGGAAUAUUGCUCAAUGGCCGAAAGGCUGAAGCAGCAACGCCGCGUGAAGGAUGAAUGGCCUUUGGCCUGUAAACUUCUGUAAAAAGGGAAACAAUCAAGGCAUGUCCUGUA
RNAcentral lists this ribosomal RNA (443 nucleotides) under uncultured bacterium. RNAcentral describes it as "bacterial SSU rRNA". It matches the Rfam family "Bacterial small subunit ribosomal RNA", at positions 28 to 470 of the family's 1533-position model. The record is from RNAcentral.